UUAGUAGUAUAAUUUGAUUAAGUGCAUUUUAAUUCCAUUUUUAUUCUUUUUUUAUUUUGUAAUUUAAUUUUCAUUUUAUUUUUUAUUAUAAUAAUUGGAUUAAUUGCAUUAUAAUUUGAUUUUAAUCUUCUUUAUUGCUUGCAAUAUUAACUCCCUUUAAUCUAACUAUUAACUCUUUAAUUCUUUUUGUUCCAAUUCUUAUUCAUCUUGUGUGAUUGAUUGAUU
This 225-nucleotide long non-coding RNA is filed under the name Lathyrus oleraceus (garden pea). RNAcentral describes it as "Pisum sativum (pea) long non-coding RNA (PSAT_LNC012674)". The record is from RNAcentral. Lineage: Eukaryota; Viridiplantae; Streptophyta; Magnoliopsida; Fabales; Fabaceae.